Molecule: unclassified non-coding RNA, 404 nt
Filed under: Eufriesea mexicana
Lineage: Eukaryota; Metazoa; Arthropoda; Insecta; Hymenoptera; Apidae
Description: phosphomevalonate kinase, transcript variant X1
Source: RNAcentral
AUAAUAGUAAUAAAAAUUACAGAACUCAUUAAUUCAGGCCUGUUCACAAAAAACUCUCCCCCUCCCCCUCCUCCUCAGCUCCCGCAUGCAUGUACACACACGCGACACACAUCACAUAAAAUACGCAGAGUUUAGCUACCGCCAACGACGUCAAGUGUAAGGAGGCAGUCAUAGGUUAGGAAAAAACUAACAAACACCACUCUAACCACCAUACACCGACAAUGCAGACACGUAUUUCCUAAAAAACACAUAAAAACUGUCCGUGCAGUGAGAUAAGAGAGAUGAAAUGGGAGAAGCUUUCUAAGCUUCCGAAUUUAGUUUCUGUAUUGAUGAUUCAGAAACAGAAUGCGACCUAGAUGAUGUAAAUACAUGGGACUUGAAAGUGACGAAUAAUAGUGACAGCA